GGUUGAUCCUGCCAGUAGUCAUAUGCUUGUCUCAAAGAUUAAGCCAUGCAUGUCUCAGUGUAAACUUAUAAACAGUGAAACUGCGAAUGGCUCAUUAAAACAGUUAUAGUUUAUUUGAUGUUCAUUGCUACAUGGAUAACCGUGGGAAUUCUAGGGCUAAUACAUGCGUAAAUACCCGACUUCUGGAAGGGUAGUGUUUAUUAGAUUAAAAGCCAUCACCAUGCUUGCAUGGAUUUGUUGGAAUGAUAAUAACCGAUCGAAUCGCUUACCUUAGGGUGCGAUGUAUCAUUCAA
Molecule: ribosomal RNA, 293 nt
Filed under: uncultured eukaryote
Lineage: Eukaryota
Description: partial 18S ribosomal RNA
Rfam family: Eukaryotic small subunit ribosomal RNA
Source: RNAcentral